RNAcentral lists this ribosomal RNA (368 nucleotides) under uncultured organism. RNAcentral describes it as "bacterial SSU rRNA". It matches the Rfam family "Bacterial small subunit ribosomal RNA", at positions 526 to 896 of the family's 1533-position model. The record is from RNAcentral.
CGAAGGACCCGAGCGUUAUCCGGAUUUAUUGGGUUUAAAGGGUGCGUAGGCGGAUUAGUAAGUCAGUGGUGAAAGCCCAUCGCUUAACGGUGGAAUUGCCAUUGAUACUGCUAGUCUUGAGUAUGGUUGAGGUGGGCGGAAUGUGUCAUGUAGCGGUGAAAUGCUUAGAUAUGACCCAGAACACCAAUUGCGAAGGCAGCUCGCUAAACCAUAACUGACGCUGAUGCACGAAAGCGUGGGGAGCAAACAGGAUUAGAUACCCUGGUAGUCCACGCCCUAAACUAUGAUCACUCGUUGUUGGCGAUACACAGUCAGCGACUAAGGGAAACCAUUAAGUGAUCCACCUGGGAAGUACGACCGCAAGGUUG